RNAcentral lists this ribosomal RNA (389 nucleotides) under Travisia sp. NHM_1244. Its description in RNAcentral is "partial 16S ribosomal RNA". It matches the Rfam family "Bacterial large subunit ribosomal RNA", at positions 2048 to 2608 of the family's 2925-position model. Lineage: Eukaryota; Metazoa; Annelida; Polychaeta; Opheliidae. The record is from RNAcentral.
GCCAUACUGUCUCUAAAAUACUUAAUAAAAAUUAUCCUUUAGGUGAAGAGACCUAAAUAAGAAAAAAGGACAAGAAGACCCUGUUGAGCUUUAUUAAUAUAUUUAGGCUUGAAAACUUUAAGUACCUAUUAAUCCCUAUAUAUAAAAUUUAGUUGGGGCGACUAAGGAACAAUAAAAACUUCCUUAAAUAUCUAAGACUUUCCAGUCUUUAUCUGAUCCAAAUUUAUUGACCAAAGAAUUGAGCUACCACAGGGAUAACAGGCUAAUCCUCCUUAAGAGCCCAUAUUGACAGGAGGGAUUGGCACCUCGAUGUUGGCUUAGGGCCCCCAAAAAGCGCAGCAGCUUCUAAAGGUAGGUUUGUUCAACCUUUAAUGCCCUACGUGAUCUGA